Molecule: ribosomal RNA, 253 nt
Filed under: uncultured bacterium
Lineage: Bacteria
Description: partial 16S ribosomal RNA
Rfam family: Bacterial small subunit ribosomal RNA
Source: RNAcentral
UACGGAGGGGGCUAGCGUUGUUCGGAAUUACUGGGCGUAAAGCGCGCGUAGGCGGCUUUGUAAGUUAGAGGUGAAAGCCCAGGGCUCAACCCUGGAAUUGCCUUUAAGACUGCAUCGCUUGAACAUCGGAGAGGUAAGUGGAAUUCCGAGUGUAGAGGUGAAAUUCGUAGAUAUCGGGAGGAACACCAGUGGCGAAGGCGACUUCCUGGCCUGUUCUUGACGCUGAGGCGCGAAAGCUAGGGGAGCAAACGGG